This 233-nucleotide long non-coding RNA is filed under the name Olea europaea (common olive). RNAcentral describes it as "long non-coding RNA (OEUR_LNC008168)". Lineage: Eukaryota; Viridiplantae; Streptophyta; Magnoliopsida; Lamiales; Oleaceae. The record is from RNAcentral.
UAGGAAGGACCAGGUUGUUUGGGGAAGGUAUAACUACUACAAAUCCAAAAACUGAUGGAGCAACAGAAAUUGAGGAAUUUACAGUAGGAGAGAUGCCAUUUCUUUCUCGCACUGGCUUGAGAACUUGAAGCUUAUACACGCUAUGGUGGAGUUGGAGGUGACGUUGGUGGUGGUUGUUGUGGUGGUAGAGAUGCAUAUGGUGGUUAUGGUGCUAAGUUUGGGUUAGGUUGGAC